UACAGAGGGGGCAAGCGUUAUUCGGAAUUAUUGGGCGUAAAGGGCGCGUAGGCGGCUUUGCAAGUGGCGGGUGAAAUCCCUCGGCUUAACCGAGGAACUGCCUGUCAAACUGCAUGGCUUGAGACCAGGAGAGGUGAGUGGAAUUCCCAGUGUAGCGGUGAAAUGCGUAGAUAUUGGGAGGAACACCAGUGGCGAAGGCGGCUCACUGGACUGGUACUGACGCUGAUGCGCGAAAGCGUGGGGAGCGAACAGG
RNAcentral lists this ribosomal RNA (253 nucleotides) under uncultured bacterium. RNAcentral describes it as "partial 16S ribosomal RNA". It matches the Rfam family "Bacterial small subunit ribosomal RNA", at positions 524 to 776 of the family's 1533-position model. The record is from RNAcentral.